RNAcentral lists this ribosomal RNA (497 nucleotides) under uncultured bacterium. RNAcentral describes it as "partial 16S ribosomal RNA". It matches the Rfam family "Bacterial small subunit ribosomal RNA", at positions 28 to 507 of the family's 1533-position model. The record is from RNAcentral.
GAUGAACGCUGGCGGCGUGCCUAAUACAUGCAAGUCGAGCGAACAGAUAAGGGGCUUGCUCCUUUGACGUUAGCGGCGGACGGGUGAGUAACACGUGGGUAACCUACCUAUAAGACUGGGAUAACUUCGGGAAACCGGAGCUAAUACCGGAUAACAUUUGGAACCGCAUGGUUCUAAAGUGAAAGAUGGUUUUGCUAUCACUUAUAGAUGGACCCGCGCCGUAUUAGCUAGUUGGUAAGGUAACGGCUUACCAAGGCGACGAUACGUAGCCGACCUGAGAGGGUGAUCGGCCACACUGGAACUGAGACACGGUCCAGACUCCUACGGGAGGCAGCAGUAGGGAAUCUUCCGCAAUGGGCGAAAGCCUGACGGAGCAACGCCGCGUGAGUGAUGAAGGGUUUCGGCUCGUAAAACUCUGUUAUUAGGGAAGAACAAAUGUGUAAGUAACUGUGCACGCCUUGACGGUACCUAAUCAGAAAGCCACGGCUAACUACGUG